GGAAGGAUCAUUCCAAUAAAUUCAAAAACCAAAUCCGGCUGGUGUGUCCCUACUCUUAAAUUUUGAUAUUCCGAUUUACUUAAUACUUUCAAUGAUGGAUGUCUCGGGUCUCUUUACGAAGAAGGGCGCAGCAAAGUGCGAAAAGCAGUAUGAUACGCAAAUCAUAUGAGUCAUUAGUUACCUGAACGCAGAUGGCAGUUGUUUGGUUCUCCAACGACUAUGUUUGGUUUAGUGUAAAGAUCUAUUUCUCUUCAUUGAGGUUUUUGAUGGCCCCUCGUGCGAUCACAAAGUUGCUUCAGACUCCUAGAACAAGGAAAGGGAAAGUCCGACACUUGUUGAGGAUUACAGUCAUGAAUAUUCAAUCGAUUUUACCUGAAGUCAAGCAAGGUUACCCGCUGAAUUUAAGCAUAUAACUAAGCGGAGGAAAAGAAACUAACAAGGAUUCCUUCAGUAGUGGCGAACGAAGCAGGAAGAGCUCAGUCCGAAAUCCGUCAGUGUCUCACUGACGGGAUGGAGUUUUGUUGUAGGACCAGUGCAUAGUCAGAUUCGAGCCUCGUGGAUGCGAGUGUCAGAGAGGGUGAGGACCCCGUCCUUAUUCUGAAGCUAUGGACGUACGGCCUUCAACAUAUGAGUCGCAUCCCUUGGGAGUGGGGUGCUAAUUGGUGGUAGCUUUUACCGAAAGCUAGAUACAAAAGAGAUACCGAUAGCAUAGAAGUACCGUGAGGGAAAGAUGAAAAGAGCCUCGAAAGGGGAAUUAAAAUGGCCUGAAACCAUUGAAAGGGAAGUGAUUGAAGCUUUACUUGCUUUGUCAAAAUGUUCCUGAUUGUUUCUUUCUGAUGCGUGAGCUCAGUUGGAAGAUCUAUAAGGUGCUGCUUGACAUGCAAAACAGCUGGGCCUCUGUUCCUUUCUUCCUCAAGUUGUUGUACAAGAUUUUAUCUUGAGACUUGGUGUUGGACUUGAACAGGGGUGAGUGAUGCAGCUUUUGUAAGGGGCUUCAAACAACCCGUCUUGAAACACGGACCAAGGAGUCUAACAUGCCUGCGAGUUCUGUGAUUGAAACUCUCAGAGCGAAAUGAAAGUGAUAGUUUGAAUCGCUGAAAACACGACCAACUUCUUAAGAGGUUUGCGUACGAGCAUAUGGGUUCGGACCCGAAAGAUGGUGAACUAUUCCUGAGUAGGGUGAAGCCAGGGGAAACCCUGGUGGUGGCUCGUAGCGAUACUGACGUGCAAAUCGUUCGUCAAACUUGGGUAUAGGGGCGAAAGACUAAUCGAACCAUCUAGUAGCUGGUUCCCUC
This 1295-nucleotide unclassified non-coding RNA is filed under the name uncultured soil eukaryote. RNAcentral describes it as "sequence contains 18S rRNA gene, ITS1, 5.8S rRNA gene, ITS2, 28S rRNA gene". The stretch from base 369 to 1295 matches the Rfam family "Eukaryotic large subunit ribosomal RNA", at positions 1 to 961 of the family's 3401-position model. The record is from RNAcentral.